UACAGAGGGUGCAAGCGUUAAUCGGAAUGACUGGGCGUAAAGCGUGCGUAGGUGGUGACUUAAGUUAGAUGUGAAAUCCCUGGGCUUAACCUAGGAACUGCAUAUAAUACUGGGACACUAGAGUAUGGGAGAGGUAAGUGGAAUUUCCGGUGUAGCGGUGAAAUGCGUAGAUAUCGGAAGGAACACCAGUGGCGAAGGCGGCUUACUGGCCUAAUACUGACACUGAGGCACGAAAGCGUGGGGAGCAAACAGG
This 253-nucleotide ribosomal RNA is filed under the name uncultured bacterium. RNAcentral describes it as "partial 16S ribosomal RNA". It matches the Rfam family "Bacterial small subunit ribosomal RNA", at positions 524 to 776 of the family's 1533-position model. The record is from RNAcentral.